RNAcentral lists this ribosomal RNA (467 nucleotides) under uncultured bacterium. RNAcentral's name for it is "partial 16S ribosomal RNA". It matches the Rfam family "Bacterial small subunit ribosomal RNA", at positions 28 to 506 of the family's 1533-position model. The record is from RNAcentral.
GACGAACGCUGGCGGCGUGCUUAACACAUGCAAGUCGAACGGAAAGGCCCUGCUUUUGUGGGGUGCUCGAGUGGCGAACGGGUGAGUAACACGUGAGUAACCUGCCCUUGACUUUGGGAUAACUUCAGGAAACUGGGGCUAAUACCGGAUAGGAGCUCCUGCUGCAUGGUGGGGGUUGGAAAGUUUCGGCGGUUGGGGAUGGACUCGCGGCUUAUCAGCUUGUUGGUGGGGUAGUGGCUUACCAAGGCUUUGACGGGUAGCCGGCCUGAGAGGGUGACCGGCCACAUUGGGACUGGGAUACGGCCCAGACUCCUACGGGGGGCAGCAGUGGGAAAUAUUGCACAAUGGGCGGAAGCCUGAUGCAGCAACGCCGGGUGCGGGAUGACGGCCUUCGGGUUGUAAACCGCUUUCGCCUGUGACGAAGCGUGAGUGACGGUAAUGGGUAAAGAAGCACCGGCUACCUACGU